GGCAGCGCGGAUAGGCAUGCAAGUCGAACGGGAUCCGCAAGGUAGCAAUACUGCGCGGUGAGAGUGGCGGAUUGGGGAGGAGCACGUGAGCAACCUGCCCUGGAGAUGGGGAAAACCGUUGGAAACGACGGCUAAUACCGAAUGUGGCGGCCGAUGGCAUCAUUGGACCGCUGAAGGGGGCCGCAAGGCUCUCGCUCCGGGAUGGGCUCGCGCACCAUCAGCUAGUUGGCGGGUAACGGCCCACCAAGGCUUACGGUUAGCUGGUCUGAGAGGAUGACCAGCCCCACUGGGACUGAGAUACUGCCCAGACUCCUACGGGAGGCUGCAGUCGAGGAUCAUUCGCAAUGGACGAAAGUCUGACGAUGCGACGCUGCGUGGAAGGAUGAAGGCCUUCGGGUUGUAAACUCCUGUCAUGAGGGAAGAGGCGAGGGGACCUAAUACGUUCUUUAGUUGACUGUACCUCAAGAGGAAUGGGCGGCUAACUCUGUGCCAGCCGCGGC
This 500-nucleotide ribosomal RNA is filed under the name uncultured bacterium. RNAcentral's name for it is "bacterial SSU rRNA". It matches the Rfam family "Bacterial small subunit ribosomal RNA", at positions 38 to 518 of the family's 1533-position model. The record is from RNAcentral.